GCGAGUCAUUGUAGCAAUACAAGGCAGACGGCUCAGUAACGCGUAGUCAAUCUACCCUAUGGACGGGAAUAACCUCGGGAAACUGAGAAUAAUGCCCGACAGAACAUUAUACCUGGAACGGUUUAUGUUUCAAAUGAUUUAUCGCCGUAGGAUGGGACUGCGGCCUAUCAGUUUGUUGGUGAGGUAAUGGCCCACCAAGACUAUUACAGGUACGGGCUCUGAGAGGAGUAGCCCGGAGAUGGGUACUGAGACACGGACCCAGGCCCUAUGGGGCGCAGCAGGCGAGAAAACUUUGCAAUGUGCGAAAGCACGACAAGGUUAAUCCGAGUGGUUUCUGCUAAAGAAACCUUUUGCUAGUCCUAGAAACACUAGUGAAUAAGGGGUGGGCAAGUUCUGGUGUCAGCCGCCGCGGUAAAACCAGCACCUCAAGUGGUCAGGAUGAUUAUUGGGCCUAAAGCAUCCGUAGCUCGUUUUGUAAGUUUUCGGUUAAAUCCAUACGCUUAACGUAUGGGCUGCCGGGAAUACUGCAUAACUAGGAAGUGGGAGAGGUAGACGGUACUCGGUAGGAAGGGGUAAAAUCCUUUGAUCUAUUGAUGACCACCUGUGGCGAAGGCGGUCUACCAGAACACGUUCGACGGUGAGGGAUGAAAGCUGGGGGAGCAAACCGGAUUAGAUACCCGGGUAGUCCCAGCUGUAAACUAUGCAAACUCAGUGAUGCAUUGGCUUGUGGCCAAUGCAGUGCUGCAGGAAAGCCGUUAAGUUUGCCGCCUGGGAAGUACGUACGCAAGUAUGAACUUAAAGGAAUUGGCGGGGGAGCACCACAAGGGUGAAGCCUGCGGU
This 840-nucleotide ribosomal RNA is filed under the name uncultured archaeon. Its description in RNAcentral is "bacterial SSU rRNA". It matches the Rfam family "Archaeal small subunit ribosomal RNA", at positions 53 to 901 of the family's 1478-position model. The record is from RNAcentral.